Oryza glaberrima (African rice) is the source of this 206-nucleotide non-coding RNA. NCBI's taxonomy places the organism in Eukaryota, Viridiplantae, Streptophyta, Magnoliopsida, Poales, Poaceae. The record is from Rfam.
AAUAAGUGCAGUUUUAGCACUGUUCAUGUUCAACAUUUGACCGUUCGUCUUAUUUGAAAAACAAUUAUGAUUAGUAUUUUUAUUAUUGUUAGAUGAUAAUACAUGAAUAGUAUUUUAUAUGACUAAUAUUUUUAAUUUUUUAUAAAUUUUUUAAAUAAGACGGAUGGUCAAAACGCUGUACACGAAUAUCUAUAGCUGCACUUAUU